Molecule: ribosomal RNA, 490 nt
Filed under: uncultured bacterium
Lineage: Bacteria
Description: partial 16S ribosomal RNA
Rfam family: Bacterial small subunit ribosomal RNA
Source: RNAcentral
GUGAACGCUGGCGGUAGGCCUAACACAUGCCAGUCGAACGGCAGCACAGUAAGAGCUUGCUCUUACGGGUGGCGAGUGGCGGACGGGUGAGGAAUACAUCGGAAUCUACUUUUUCGUGGGGGAUAACGUAGGGAAACUUACGCUAAUACCGCAUACGACCUACGGGUGAAAGCAGGGGAUCUUCGGACCUUGCGCGAUUGAAUGAGCCGAUGUCGGAUUAGCUAGUUGGCGGGGUAAAGGCCCACCAAGGCGACGAUCCGUAGCUGGUCUGAGAGGAUGAUCAGCCACACUGGAACUGAGACACGGUCCAGACUCCUACGGGAGGCAGAAGUGGGGAAUAUUGGACAAUGGGCGCAAGCCUGAUCCAGCCAUACCGCGCGGGUGAAGAAGGCCUGCGGGUUGUAAAGCCCUUUUGUUGGGAAAGAAAAGCAGCAGGUUAAUACCCCGCUGUUCUGACGGUACCCAAAGAAUAAGCACCGGCUAACUGCGU